This 809-nucleotide long non-coding RNA is filed under the name Paramuricea clavata. Lineage: Eukaryota; Metazoa; Cnidaria; Anthozoa; Malacalcyonacea; Plexauridae. The record is from RNAcentral.
AUCCAAUAUGGCGGACGAUAAAGACAGGAACAAUUCAAACGAUAAAAGAGAAAUUAGUGGGUCGUUCAUCAGAGGUUUUGCUGCUGGUGUAAUUCUAUCGCAUAUCAAUAAAAAUUUAAUCCUAGGACUACUUAUUGGAACCUUGGCUGGAUGCUAUGUGCAACAAAAUUACACUGGAAUUCCUGAUGUUUCUGAGACUGCGACUGAAUGGGUGAAUACUCUUAAAGAGUCCAUAAAGAAGAAGUCAAAAUGAUUGGAAUAUUGUGUACUUGAGUAAUGGCAAAAGAUUGAUGGGUUUCAAAGUUACAAAUCAAGGGGUUUUAAUGAAAAUCAGAAAAUGAUUGUGGGAUCCAGUUUGGCAUUUCAAAGUACUAGCUAUUUAUAAUACCUACAGGUCACAAAGUCAAAGGGAAACUUCAGUUACAUACAUACAUACAUACGAACAAACAAACAUUAUUUAAGCAUGAUAGGCUCAUCUGUAAAAGCUGGUUUUAUGAUGGGCAUGGUCAGACAAUACAUACUCACAUACUGUACAUAUACAUAAACAGAUAAACUAUAUACUGUCAUAUAUAUGGGACGUAAUAAAAAAAUGUUAGUAAAAGUGUAAAACUGCUGUUCAUUUAACAGCUGACAUUUCAUAUUAGUAAGCUUGGGUGGUUUUGACUAAAAAAAAGUCAAUACUGGUUAAACUGUAAACUGUUUUUUAAUGAUUUCAGGGAUUUAAUAAUGCAUUCCAGUAUUGAAUAAUGGUCAAUGUCUCACCAACGAAAUGCAAUUUUUAAUAUAAUAUUAAGGUAAUAUGAAUGGUG